This 90-nucleotide transfer RNA is filed under the name bacterium. RNAcentral describes it as "tRNA-Ser". It matches the Rfam family "tRNA". From Rfam's summary of the family: Transfer RNA (tRNA) molecules are approximately 80 nucleotides in length. Their secondary structure includes four short double-helical elements and three loops (D, anti-codon, and T loops). The record is from RNAcentral.
GGUGGGGUGCUAGAGCGGUUGAAUAGGCCAGUCUUGAAAACUGGUAUAUCCGAAAGGGUAUCGUGAGUUCGAAUCUCACCCCCACCGCCA